CCUACGGGAGGCAGCAGUGGGGAAUAUUGGGCAAUGGGCGCAAGCCUGACCCAGCAACGCCGCGUGAAGGAAGAAGGCUUUCGGGUUGUAAACUUCUUUUGUCAGGGACGAAACAAAUGACGGUACCUGACGAAUAAGCCACGGCUAACUACGUGCCAGCAGCCGCGGUAAUACGUAGGUGGCAAGCGUUAUCCGGAUUUACUGGGUGUAAAGGGCGUGUAGGCGGGAGUGCAAGUCAGAUGUGAAAAUUAUGGGCUCAACCCAUAACCUGCAUUUGAAACUGUACUUCUUGAGUACUGGAGAGGCAGGCGGAAUUCCGUGUGUAGCGGUGAAAUGCGUAGAUAUACGGAGGAACACCAGUGGCGAAGGCGGCCUGCUGGACAGCAACUGACGCUGAGGCGCGAAAGCGUGGGGAGCAAACAGGAUUAGAUACCCGGGUAGUC
This 443-nucleotide ribosomal RNA is filed under the name uncultured Oscillospira sp. Its description in RNAcentral is "bacterial SSU rRNA". It matches the Rfam family "Bacterial small subunit ribosomal RNA", at positions 338 to 795 of the family's 1533-position model. The record is from RNAcentral. Lineage: Bacteria; Bacillati; Bacillota; Clostridia; Eubacteriales; Oscillospiraceae.